GUGUGUGUGUGUGUGUGUGUGUGUGUGUGUGGUUGCAAAUUGACUUGAUAUGGGCAGAAAAACCACAUGCCUCCAGCUGCCAGCGCUCUCUAUAGGCUUAAUGCAAUCAGCAGGCUGUUAGGAGGUCUCAUGACAUAAAAUGGGCAUGUCCACUCAGUCACAACACUUUUGGUCUUAUAUAUUGUUUACGUGAUAAGCUGCAAUAAAGUGAUGAUUACAAACU
Perca fluviatilis (European perch) is the source of this 223-nucleotide long non-coding RNA. RefSeq lists it as uncharacterized. The transcript has 2 exons. NCBI's taxonomy places the organism in Eukaryota, Metazoa, Chordata, Actinopteri, Perciformes, Percidae. The record is from RefSeq and is a predicted model, not a curated record.